AGAGUUUGAUCCUGGCUCAGGAUGAACGCUGGCGGCGUGCCUAACACAUGCAAGUCGAGCGAAGCGAUUUCGAGGAAGUUUUCGGAUGGAAUUGGAAUUGACUGAGCGGCGGACGGGUGAGUAACGCGUGGGUAACCUGCCUCAUACAGGGGGAUAACAGUUAGAAAUGACUGCUAAUACCGCAUAAGCGCACAGGACCGCAUGGUCGAGUGUGAAAAACUCCGGUGGUAUGAGAUGGACCCGCGUCUGAUUAGCUGGUUGGUGGGGUAACGGCCUACCAAGGCGACGAUCAGUAGCCGACCUGAGAGGGUGACCGGCCACAUUGGGACUGAGACACGGCCCAAACUCCUACGGGAGGCAGCAGUGGGGAAUAUUGCACAAUGGGGGAAACCCUGAUGCAGCGACGCCGCGUGAGUGAAGAAGUAUUUCGGUAUGUAAAGCUCUAUCAGCAGGGAAGAAAAUGACGGUACCUGACUAAGAAGCCCCGGCUAACUACGUGCCAGCAGCCGCGGUAAUACGUAGGGGGCAAGCGUUAUCCGCGG
RNAcentral lists this ribosomal RNA (542 nucleotides) under uncultured bacterium. Its description in RNAcentral is "bacterial SSU rRNA". It matches the Rfam family "Bacterial small subunit ribosomal RNA", at positions 9 to 546 of the family's 1533-position model. The record is from RNAcentral.